GGGUUGUGAGGUUAAGCGACUAAGCGUACACGGUGGAUGCCCUGGCAGUCAGAGGCGAUGAAGGACGUGCUAAUCUGCGAAAAGCGCCGGCGAGGUGAUAUGAACCCUUGACCCGGCGAUGUCCGAAUGGGGAAACCCAGUGUGAUUCGUCACACUAUCGUUAACUG
Molecule: ribosomal RNA, 167 nt
Filed under: Enterobacter cloacae subsp. cloacae
Lineage: Bacteria; Pseudomonadati; Pseudomonadota; Gammaproteobacteria; Enterobacterales; Enterobacteriaceae
Description: partial 23S ribosomal RNA
Rfam family: Bacterial large subunit ribosomal RNA
Source: RNAcentral